This is a long non-coding RNA of Triticum dicoccoides, 4318 nucleotides long. RefSeq lists it as uncharacterized. The record is from RefSeq and is a predicted model, not a curated record. The transcript has 2 exons. NCBI's taxonomy places the organism in Eukaryota, Viridiplantae, Streptophyta, Magnoliopsida, Poales, Poaceae.
UGGCAGAUCAGAGGAGGGGUCAAAAUCCCUAGCGGCAGCUAAUCCCCAUUGCGCCUGGCACAUCUCUCUUCUCCCCCAUCCUCCUUCUCCACCUCCGGACGCCGCCAGGGCUAGGCCGCCGUGGUGGUGCGCCUCCCAUCCACCUGCACCACUCCACUCCGCCGCCUCAGCCAUCCAUCCACCGUGCGCCUCCCAGCCACCAGCACCUCCCACCACAUCACCCAUCUCCAUCCACCAGCGCCACUCACCAGCAUCACAACGCUUCCCCGCACCUCGCACCCCUGUGCUGCUGCUCUUCUUCUCCAACUGCCACUGCUCCUCCCCUUGUCCCUUCUGCUGAUGCUCUUCCCUGCUGUCCUUCUUCCCUUGCCUUGCUCCUUCUCCAUCUCUUGCUGCUACUUCUUCUUCUCUGAACCUCAUUUCUUCUCCUUGCAUCCCCUUGUUGCAGCGCCUCUUUCUUUGCUGCUGCUUCUCUUCUCACGCCCCCUGCUACUUUUCUUCUCCAAGCACCGCUGCUUCUUCUCCAUCACGAAACUGUUGCCCCUCUCUUGCUGCGCCCCUGCUGCUUCUUCUCACGCUGCUGCUGCUCUCUAUCCCCAUGUCCCUGCUGCUGUUCUUCUCUGAAACCUCAAAACUGCUGCUUCUUCUCCCUCUCUCUAUUCUCUAAUUUUCUGUAAUCUUGAGUAGUGUAAUGUUCAGUACUUUGAAAUGUUCAGAAUUGAGAUGUGUAGCACUUGUAAGGUUCAGAUUUUGAUAAGUGUUUGCAAUAAACUAGUUUGUUCAGUUCGUACUUGUUAAAUAUCAUGUCAUAAAUUCUAUGUUCUGAAUAGUGGAUUUCUUGUUGCUUUGGGAACUAACUCAUAUGUAAUAUUUUGUUACUUUGGUAAUUAGUGUUCUGUCAGCAUAUAUGUGUGUUCACCCUGUGUAUUUCUUCUCGCUGUCUAGUUAAAUUCUAUCAGUAUUAGUUGUUAAAUACUGUUGUGUUGAUCUGUGGGUACUAAUCUUGUGGCUUGUAAGAUUUCAUUUCUGUUGUCACUUGUGUAACCUGAACCGUGGUGUAGUAUCAUGUUCGCAUAUGUGUGGUUUUGUGUGUUCUGUAGUCCCCGUAUCAGCUAUGUACCUGUGAUAUAUGAAUGUGCGUGUGUGUGUUUGAUUUGAAACAAUUAUAUUCUGUCAUAUACUGUCGCUUCUUCCUACUGUUAUAUGUUUGAUACUAAUGUGUCCUCGUCUUGUAGCUUUACUUGAUAUUGACUCCUGUUUGUGUUAGUAUUUUAAUUCCUCAAAUAAAACAAAAUACCAAAAAGAUAGUGAGUAAUAUCUUAACCUCCCUUUGCUAUUUUGCAUUUUCUUGGUGGCCUAUCUUUGGGUACAAUCAUUGUUAGUUUAGAUUCUUAUUUUCUGCAUUUAUCUCUUAAAAUUGUGCUACCUAGCUUUAGCCGAGCAUAGUCGUCGUCGCCUAGUCCCUGUGGAGAACACGACAUCCGUAGUUUGGGGCGUAAAAACCCCGCUAUACUUUCAAAUGAUCAUUUUGGCGCCGUUGCCGGGGACUAGCGUCGAGCGAUUGUGCUAGGCUAUAGACUAGGUUUUUCUUGUUUUCAUCUUGUGCCAUAUAUUUGUGAUAUAUCUCUAGCCACUAACCCCUGUUCUAGUUAUUAUCUUUUUGUCUUCUUUUCCUUUUUGCAGGUUGGAUUAUCCUCUCGCAAAUGGCAUUCUAUUCAGAUCAUCAUGCUUAUGCGAGCAACACUACAAACAACACGGAAAGUAUACAAGAACUGAUAAGUAAGAUUUCCCAUCGAUUAGAUGAUUUAGCUCGACAGCGAGAGGUAGUUUUUGAGGAUAGGCCUAGCUCUUAUGAUCCUUAUUCUAGAGGUCAUCCUUAUGUUGCUCCUACAUGCCAUAUUUGUGGUUACUCUCACCCUCCCGAUUGUUAUGGCACGAGCUUCGCCCCACAGCCUAGCUCAUACCAAAAAAAUUACACACAUGGGUGGCCUGAAAACCAGAAUAUGUCAUAUAGGAGCAAUAACCCUGAGAUCUCAUCAUUUUCCUCUAGUUAUCCGAUGCAGGGAUUUAGGUAUGAAGAGGAGAGCCACAACUAAGCUCCACAACAGAUUUAUUCAGCUCCUACUCAUAUACCUCAACACCAGGACAUGUUGCCAAUGGAGUUAAAUGGUCCUCCAUUUGGUCAACCAACAUCUUCAACACAAGUGCCCACACAAGAUGACUUUGAUGAUAUAUACAAGCUCACAUUGCUUGGUCUAGAGUUCACUUGGAGUGCCGAAGAUGAUCCAAUUAGGCCGGUGAUACUAGAGGAAAUGAAGAAGAUUAAGAGUGGAAAGGAUCUAGUGGAAGAAGUAAAGAAGAUUGAGAAGAACAUCAACACUGGUAGUACUAUUUCUUCAUAGCUUGAGCUGAGUAAUUCUGGGAUUCUCCUUGAUACAUGUGAGGUUCCAAUACCGUCACAUCCAGCUGAGCAAGAUAGCAAGUGCCUUGAGCAUGAGAUACCUCAGAUUGAAGAAGAUGAACUAGAAGACAAGGAACAAGAUGAUGAAGAGCUGCAAUUCCCAAGUGAUCAAGUUGAAGACUCGUCAUCUACUACUCCUGAAGAAGUACAAGAAGCUGCUGUAGAUGAAGAUGAAGAACCUGAGAUUCAUUGGCCUGUUGUCAUACAUGAGCGUGAUGUGUCAGGUUUACCCAAUCCUCUUGAUGACAUGCUCCCUUGUGAUUUCUUUGCUUCUAACUUGCAUUGCAUGAUGCCAUUACUUAAGGUAGAUUUGAAAAACUAUUUGCUUGGAUAUGAUCAUAUAUACCCUGUUAGUGGCAUUACUCUCAUUUGUGAUGAUCACAAUUACUUUCCUCGUGCUAGUUCUAUGCUUAAUGAAACAUAUCAUUCCCAUGUUAGUCUUGAGCUUAAUGAUAAAUAUCAUCCUCAUGUUAGCAUUGAGCUUACUGAUUUGUACCAUCCUAAACAUGUGCUUUAUAGCUAUGCUUAUGUAAUUGGGUACUCUAUAGAUGAUUUAGAGGGCAUUACCCUUGUCACUUGUAUUGUUUCCUUGGUUGAGUGCUCUUUCAGGUUGUUGCUUGUGCACGAUCCACUACAUGCUGACCAAGUUCGAGAUGACAUUCCCUGGGACCCAGGUGGACCCAUGGCAUGGGGAUGAGGAGAAGCAAGGAGCACACAUGAAGAGAGAAGCUGGAGCAGGCAUGAGGAUAGAGAAGCAAAAGGAGAGGAGUUGCAGUUGGUGAGGUGAUCGAGCGAGUGCUACAUCAUCAAAGCCCGAAAAGUGCGCAAAGGCACUAUAAACUUCAAGAUCUGGACUAGUGGCUAAGAGAACCAGUCAAGUGAAAAGGAAGAAGAAAGACAGAGGGACUUGUGUGUGAAGAAAUGAUGCUCCAUGGGACAAGUUAAAGAAGAAAGGGACCUUCUUAUGAAGAAAGAAGAAAAGGAGAAGGGCCAAAAAUGCAAAGUGGCAGAUCAGAGGAGGGGUCAAAAUCCCUAGCGGCAGCUAAUCCCCAUUGCGCCUGGCACAUCUCUCUUCUCCCCCAUCCUCCUUCUCCACCUCCGGCCGCCGCCACGGCCAGGCCGCUGUGGUGGUGCGCCUCCCAUCCACCUGCACCACUCCACUCCGCCACCUCAGCCAUCCAUCCACCGUGCGCCUCCCAGCCACCAGCACCUCCCACCACAUCACCCAUCUCCAUCCACCAGCACCACUCACCAGCAUCACAGCGCUUCCCCGCACCUCGCGCCCCUGUGAUGCUGCUCUUCUUCUCCAACUGCCGCUGCUCCUCCCCUUGUCCCUUCUGCUGAUGCUCUUCCCUGCUGUCCUUCUUCCCUUGCCUUGCUCCUUCUCCAUCUCUUGCUGCUACUUCUUCUUCUCUGAACCUCAUUUCUUCUCCUUGCAUCCCCUUGUUGCCGCGCCUCUUUCUUUGCUACUGCUUCUCUUCUCACGCCCCCUGCUACUUUUCUUCUCCAAGCCCCGCUGCUUCUUCUCCAUCACGAAACUGCUGCCCCUCUCUUGCUGCGCCCCUGCCGCUUCUUCUCACGCUGCUGCUGCUCUCUAUCCCCACGUCCCUGCUGCUGCUCUUCUCUGAAACCUCAAAACUGCUGCUUCUUCUCCCUCUCUCUAUUCUCUAAUUUUCGGUAAUCUUGAGUAGUGUAAUGUUCAGUACUUUGAAAUGUUCAGAAUUGAGAUGUGUAGCUCUUGUAAGGUUCAGAUUUUGAUAUGUGUUUGCAAUAAACUAGUUUGUUCAGUUCGUACUUGUUAAAUAUCAUGUCAUAAAUUCUAUGUUUUGAAUAGUGGAUUUCUUGUUGCUUUGGGAA